This 1345-nucleotide long non-coding RNA is filed under the name Gallus gallus (chicken). RNAcentral's name for it is "lncRNA (ENSGALG00010017040.1)". Lineage: Eukaryota; Metazoa; Chordata; Aves; Galliformes; Phasianidae. The record is from RNAcentral.
GGAAGUCAGAGCCUGUUGUUCUCAGCAGGACCAUGGCAGGGCAAUGCUGAUUUAAGCAAGGCUGCUCUCAGGUCUCUACCUUUAAUAUGAGAGCAUCCUCACUGCAAGGGUGAAUUAGGCUCCUACCUGCUCUGUACCCGCAGCUAUAAUUUAGUGCCCAAAUGCUGUCAUGUGUUAACCCUGGCCAGCUUGCUCAGCUGGUCUGCAGUACAAAGCAUUGCUUUGCACGUGACAUGGUGAAAACACUGGAGCUGACAGUGCCCCAGUACUGGGGUGCCUAAAUAAGCCAGACCUGUCCUCCCCCAGGGAAGGCCAUUCCAUCAUGCUACAGUACUAACUGUCUGUGACCCCGCUCCCUAAAGCUCCAGCAGCAUGAGGUGCUCAGUUCUGUGCCCUUCAGCCCUGGCAGCUCCAGGCUGGCUCUACCUGUCCCUGCCUGUGCCAAGCUUCACUCACCUGCAGCACUAAAGGCAUGGCUUGCAGCACGAAGCCAGGCACAUAGUCAGUGACAGUGCCUUGUGCCCCAGGGGAGCCUUCCUGGUAGCUGCUGCCCUGACUGCUUGCAGGAAUGCUGUUCUUCUAUUUCUUUCUGCAUUUCCCAAGAUACCAACCCAUGCCAGGUCCUUCAAAGGCUGCUGAGCGGGGGAAUGUAUCCCCCCAGAAAUGAGAGCUCAGGGGAAGGAGGAAGGGAGGUGAAUGCAGCAGAAAGUGAUACUUCUGAAUGAGGUAAGAGACUCAUGGGCUGGGUUCAGUGAGAUGUUAAACUGCCAUUAAGAAAUACCUUGUUCAGGUGAAGGAGAGGGGCUGUGAAGAUGUAAAGAACCUGAAGUAACUUUAGAGAUGUUAAAUUAAUGACUGUUAGCUUCUGCUUUUGUGCUCAUCUCAGCACUCUGAAGAGCAGUCAAGUGACUCAUUUUCUGCUUACAUUUACUGCCUCUAUAGAAAUGAUGGGGAUGCACUGAGAAGCAGAAACAUCAGAAGGUACCAUCCACAUUUCCCCCAGAUAAGGCAGGAGAGGGCAAGGUGCCUUCUUGCAGGGCUCAGAUGCUUCCAGAUGCCAGGCCAUUGAAAGAGUUGAAGUUGUCGUUAUUUGGCAUAGGGAGAGGAGCUGUGUUUUUUUUUUAAGGAUUGGCACUAAAGUACAAAAAUAGGACUGUAGAAAAUUCAUGAAAAAUAUGAUGCCAUUUAAAAUACUCUUCUGUCAUACAUUCCUUUCUUGAAAAAUAAAUACAUAUGCUUAUAAGCUUUUCCAACCAGCACCAAGCAUGGUCCUCUAUAGUUCUUCACGUUCCCCGAGUUUGACUUAAAAAUAAAGAUCUUCAGAAGUGGAGGAAAUAAAAUAAAA